RNAcentral lists this unclassified non-coding RNA (345 nucleotides) under fungal sp. RNAcentral's name for it is "partial internal transcribed spacer region". The stretch from base 1 to 46 matches the Rfam family "Eukaryotic small subunit ribosomal RNA", at positions 1786 to 1831 of the family's 1831-position model. Lineage: Eukaryota; Fungi. The record is from RNAcentral.
AAGUCGUAACAAGGUCAUCGUAGGUGAACCUGCGGUGGGAUCAUCACCAAAUAAUAAUACGGAGCUUGGGUGGUAUUAGUAUCACCCGAGUACCAUCGUGUGAGAUUGGUAAUAGAGUGGAAUACGGGAAAAUUCUCUGGCUUUUAUUAGGCAGGGAUUGAGUACCGGUCCAUAUUAGCUCGAGUAGGGAAAGUACCUUGCCUUUUAUUAGGCAGAUUCGAGUACCUGCUCGAGCACCAUGUAAUACGGAAAUUAAUACAAACGUAAUACAAAACUAGGGUUGGUUGUUAUGGCCAGUCCGUAUAAAACAUAAUACAACUAUUAAUGGUGGAUCACUAGGCUCUU